ACGUAGGUGGCAAGCGUUGUCCGGAAUUAUUGGGCGUAAAGGGAGCGCAGGCGGGAAACUAAGCAGAUCUUAAAAGUGCGGGGCUCAACCCCGUGAUGGGGUCCGAACUGGUUUUCUUGAGUGCAGGAGAGGAAAGCGGAAUUCCCAGUGUAGCGGUGAAAUGCGUAGAUAUUGGGAAGAACACCAGUGGCGAAGGCGGCUUUCUGGACUGUAACUGACGCUGAGGCUCGAAAGCUAGGGUAGCGAACGG
This 250-nucleotide ribosomal RNA is filed under the name uncultured bacterium. RNAcentral's name for it is "partial 16S ribosomal RNA". It matches the Rfam family "Bacterial small subunit ribosomal RNA", at positions 525 to 775 of the family's 1533-position model. The record is from RNAcentral.